CGGAUUGUAGUCUGCAACCCGACUACAUGAAGCUGGAAUCGCUAGUAAUCGCGGAUCAGAAUGCCGCGGUGAAUACGUUCCCGGGUCUUGUACACACCGCCCGUCACACCAUGGGAGUCGGAAAUGCCCGAAGUCUGUGACCUAACCGUAAGGAAGGAGCAGCCGAAGGCAGGUCGGAUGACUGGGGUGAAGUCGUAACAAGGUAUC
Molecule: ribosomal RNA, 207 nt
Filed under: uncultured bacterium
Lineage: Bacteria
Description: partial 16S ribosomal RNA
Rfam family: Bacterial small subunit ribosomal RNA
Source: RNAcentral